AGCGAACGCUGGCGGCAGGCCUAACACAUGCAAGUCGAACGAACUCUUCGGAGUUAGUGGCGGACGGGUGAGUAACACGUGGGAACGUGCCUUUAGGUUCGGAAUAACUCAGGGAAACUUGUGCUAAUACCGAAUGUGCCCUUCGGGGGAAAGAUUUAUCGCCUUUAGAGCGGCCCGCGUCUGAUUAGCUAGUUGGUGAGGUAAAGGCUCACCAAGGCGACGAUCAGUAGCUGGUCUGAGAGGAUGAUCAGCCACAUUGGGACUGAGACACGGCCCAAACUCCUACGGGAAGCAGCAGUGGGGAAUCUUGCGCAAUGGGCGAAAGCCUGACGCAGCCAUGCCGCGUGAAUGAUGAAGGUCUUAGGAUUGUAAAAUUCUUUCACCGGGGACGAUAAUGACGGUACCCGGUGAAGAAGCCCCGGCUAACUUCGUG
This 433-nucleotide ribosomal RNA is filed under the name uncultured bacterium. Its description in RNAcentral is "partial 16S ribosomal RNA". It matches the Rfam family "Bacterial small subunit ribosomal RNA", at positions 29 to 507 of the family's 1533-position model. The record is from RNAcentral.